AACCUUUCCAGUUAAGAAAAUAACUCCAUAUCUUUUUCUUUUUUUUUCUUUUUUCUUUUAUUUUUCUUAAGCUAAUUUGAGUUUGGUUCAUAUCAUCUGCAAACAAAAUGUAAAUUGAGCUUAUGAAAUGGGGCCAGCAUAUGUGGAUUUUCACCAGCAAGACCUUGCUUCAAAGAAGGCUGCAACAUUUGCCAUUCGAGGAUAUCAACUCACAAGAUGUCCACUCUGUUACUUCUCCCUCCUCACCUAACAGUCACUACAGUGAUCUGCCUCUUAAUUUGUUCAGGUAACAUCCAUUUAUGUGAUUUUUUAGACUUAAUAAAGUGGCAUAAACCACAGCCUGUACCAUUCAU
Molecule: long non-coding RNA, 353 nt
Filed under: Mustela putorius furo (domestic ferret)
Lineage: Eukaryota; Metazoa; Chordata; Mammalia; Carnivora; Mustelidae
Description: lncRNA (ENSMPUG00000031277.1)
Source: RNAcentral